GAUGAACGCUGGCGGCGUGCCUAAUACAUGCAAGUCGAGCGAACGGACGAGAAGCUUGCUUUUCUGAUGUUAGCGGCGGACGGGUGAGUAACACGUGGAUAACCUACCUAUAAGACUGGGAUAACUUCAGGAAACCGGAGCUAAUACCGGAUAAUAUUUUGAACCGCAUGGUUCAAAAGUGAAAGACGGUCUUGCUGUCACUUAUAGAUGGAUCCGCGCUGCAUUAGCUAGUUGGUAAGGUAACGGCUUACCAAGGCAACGAUGCAUAGCCGACCUGAGAGGGUGAUCGGCCACACUGGAACUGAGACACGGUCCAGACUCCUACGGGAGGCAGCAGUAGGGAAUCUUCCGCAAUGGGCGAAAGCCUGACGGAGCAACGCCGCGUGAGUGAUGAAGGUCUUCGGAUCGUAAAACUCUGUUAUUAGGGAAGAACAUAUGUGUAAGUAACUGUGCACAUCUUGACGGUACCUAAUCAGAAAGCCACGGCUAGCUACGUG
RNAcentral lists this ribosomal RNA (497 nucleotides) under uncultured bacterium. Its description in RNAcentral is "partial 16S ribosomal RNA". It matches the Rfam family "Bacterial small subunit ribosomal RNA", at positions 28 to 507 of the family's 1533-position model. The record is from RNAcentral.